UGCCAGCCGCCGCGGUAAUACGGAGGGACCUAGCGUAGUUCGGAAUUACUGGGCUUAAAGAGCUCGUAGGUGGUUAAAAAAGUUGACGGUGAAAUCCCAAGGCUCAACCUUGGAACUGCCAUCAAAACUUUUUAGCUAGAGUGUGAUAGAGGUAAGUGGAAUUCCUAGUGGAGAGGUUAAAUUCUUAGAGAUUAGAAGGAAUAUCUAAAGCGAAGGCAAUUUUCUGGUUUGAACCUGACACUGAGGUGCGAAAGCGUGGGGAGCAAACAGGAUUAGAUA
RNAcentral lists this ribosomal RNA (279 nucleotides) under uncultured bacterium. Its description in RNAcentral is "partial 16S ribosomal RNA". It matches the Rfam family "Bacterial small subunit ribosomal RNA", at positions 506 to 784 of the family's 1533-position model. The record is from RNAcentral.